Molecule: ribosomal RNA, 250 nt
Filed under: uncultured prokaryote
Description: partial 16S ribosomal RNA
Rfam family: Bacterial small subunit ribosomal RNA
Source: RNAcentral
UACGUAGGGGGCAAGCGUUAUCCGGAUUUACUGGGUGUAAAGGGAGCGCAGACGGUUUUGCAAGUCUGAAGUGAAAAUCCGGGGCUCAACCCCGGAAUUGCUUUGGAAACUGUAGGACUAGAGUGCAGGAGAGGUAAGUGGAAUUCCUAGUGUAGCGGUGAAAUGCGUAGAUAUUAGGAGGAACACCAGUGGCGAAGGCGGCUUACUGGACUGUAACUGACGUUCAUGCUCGAAAGCGUGGGGAGCAAAC